RNAcentral lists this ribosomal RNA (1618 nucleotides) under Escherichia coli. RNAcentral's name for it is "partial 23S ribosomal RNA". It matches the Rfam family "Bacterial large subunit ribosomal RNA", at positions 1197 to 2798 of the family's 2925-position model. The record is from RNAcentral. Lineage: Bacteria; Pseudomonadati; Pseudomonadota; Gammaproteobacteria; Enterobacterales; Enterobacteriaceae.
AAGCUGCGGCAGCGACGCUUAUGCGUUGUUGGGUAGGGGAGCGUUCUGUAAGCCUGUGAAGGUGUGCUGUGAGGCAUGCUGGAGGUAUCAGAAGUGCGAAUGCUGACAUAAGUAACGAUAAAGCGGGUGAAAAGCCCGCUCGCCGGAAGACCAAGGGUUCCUGUCCAACGUUAAUCGGGGCAGGGUGAGUCGACCCCUAAGGCGAGGCCGAAAGGCGUAGUCGAUGGGAAACAGGUUAAUAUUCCUGUACUUGGUGUUACUGCGAAGGGGGGACGGAGAAGGCUAUGUUGGCCGGGCGACGGUUGUCCCGGUUUAAGCGUGUAGGCUGGUUUUCCAGGCAAAUCCGGAAAAUCAAGGCUGAGGCGUGAUGACGAGGCACUACGGUGCUGAAGCAACAAAUGCCCUGCUUCCAGGAAAAGCCUCUAAGCAUCAGGUAACAUCAAAUCGUACCCCAAACCGACACAGGUGGUCAGGUAGAGAAUACCAAGGCGCUUGAGAGAACUCGGGUGAAGGAACUAGGCAAAAUGGUGCCGUAACUUCGGGAGAAGGCACGCUGAUAUGUAGGUGAAGUCCCUCGCGGAUGGAGCUGAAAUCAGUCGAAGAUACCAGCUGGCUGCAACUGUUUAUUAAAAACACAGCACUGUGCAAACACGAAAGUGGACGUAUACGGUGUGACGCCUGCCCGGUGCCGGAAGGUUAAUUGAUGGGGUCAGCGCAAGCGAAGCUCUUGAUCGAAGCCCCGGUAAACGGCGGCCGUAACUAUAACGGUCCUAAGGUAGCGAAAUUCCUUGUCGGGUAAGUUCCGACCUGCACGAAUGGCGUAAUGAUGGCCAGGCUGUCUCCACCCGAGACUCAGUGAAAUUGAACUCGCUGUGAAGAUGCAGUGUACCCGCGGCAAGACGGAAAGACCCCGUGAACCUUUACUAUAGCUUGACACUGAACAUUGAGCCUUGAUGUGUAGGAUAGGUGGGAGGCUUAGAAGUGUGGACGCCAGUCUGCAUGGAGCCGACCUUGAAAUACCACCCUUUAAUGUUUGAUGUUCUAACGUUGACCCGUAAUCCGGGUUGCGGACAGUGUCUGGUGGGUAGUUUGACUGGGGCGGUCUCCUCCUAAAGAGUAACGGAGGAGCACGAAGGUUGGCUAAUCCUGGUCGGACAUCAGGAGGUUAGUGCAAUGGCAUAAGCCAGCUUGACUGCGAGCGUGACGGCGCGAGCAGGUGCGAAAGCAGGUCAUAGUGAUCCGGUGGUUCUGAAUGGAAGGGCCAUCGCUCAACGGAUAAAAGGUACUCCGGGGAUAACAGGCUGAUACCGCCCAAGAGUUCAUAUCGACGGCGGUGUUUGGCACCUCGAUGUCGGCUCAUCACAUCCUGGGGCUGAAGUAGGUCCCAAGGGUAUGGCUGUUCGCCAUUUAAAGUGGUACGCGAGCUGGGUUUAGAACGUCGUGAGACAGUUCGGUCCCUAUCUGCCGUGGGCGCUGGAGAACUGAGGGGGGCUGCUCCUAGUACGAGAGGACCGGAGUGGACGCAUCACUGGUGUUCGGGUUGUCAUGCCAAUGGCACUGCCCGGUAGCUAAAUGCGGAAGAGAUAAGUGCUGAAAGCAUCUAAGCACGAAACUUGCC